CAGUCGCCGCGGUAAUACAGAGGGUGCGAGCGUUAAUCGGAUUUACUGGGCGUAAAGCGUGCGUAGGCGGCUUUUUAAGUCGGAUGUGAAAUCCCUGAGCUUAACUUAGGAAUUGCAUUCGAUACUGGGAAGCUAGAGUAUGGGAGAGGAUGGUAGAAUUCCAGGUGUAGCGGUGAAAUGCGUAGAGAUCUGGAGGAAUACCGAUGGCGAAGGCAGCCAUCUGGCCUAAUACUGACGCUGAGGUACGAAAGCAUGGGGAGCAAACAGGAUUAGAUACCGCGUAGUCCCUGUCUCUUAUACA
Molecule: ribosomal RNA, 301 nt
Filed under: uncultured bacterium
Lineage: Bacteria
Description: partial 16S ribosomal RNA
Rfam family: Bacterial small subunit ribosomal RNA
Source: RNAcentral